UGCAAGUCGAGCGAACAGAUAAGGAGCUUGCUCCUUUGACGUUAGCGGCGGACGGGUGAGUAACACGUGGGUAACCUACCUAUAAGACUGGGAUAACUUCGGGAAACCGGAGCUAAUACCGGAUAACAUUUGGAACCGCAUGGUUCUAAAGUGAAAGAUGGUUUUGCUAUCACUUAUAGAUGGACCCGCGCCGUAUUAGCUAGUUGGUAAGGUAACGGCUUACCAAGGCGACGAUACGUAGCCGACCUGAGAGGGUGAUCGGCCACACUGGAACUGAGACACGGUCCAGACUCCUACGGGAGGCAGCAGUAGGGAAUCUUCCGCAAUGGGCGAAAGCCUGACGGAGCAACGCCGCGUGAGUGAUGAAGGGUUUCGGCUCGUAAAACUCUGUUAUUAGGGAAGAACAAAUGUGUAAGUAACUGUGCACGUCUUGACGGUACCUAAUCAGAAAGCCACGGCUAACUACGUGCCAGCAGCCGCGGUAAUACGUAGGUGGCAAGCGUUAUCCGGAAUUAUUGGGCGUAAAGCGCGCGUAGGCGGUUUCUUAAGUCUGAUGUGAAAGCCCACGGCUCAACCGUGGAGGGUCAUUGGAAACUGGGAAACUUGAGUGCAGAAGAGGAAAGUGGAAUUCCAUGUGUAGCGGUGAAAUGCGCAGAGAUAUGGAGGAACACCAGUGGCGAAGGCGACUUUCUGGUCUGUAACUGACGCUGAUGUGCGAAAGCGUGGGGAUCAAACAGGAUUAGAUACCCUGGUAGUCCACGCCGUAAACGAUGAGUGCUAAGUGUUAGGGGGUUUCCGCCCCUUAGUGCUGCAGCUAACGCAUUAAGCACUCCGCCUGGGGAGUACGACCGCAAGGUUGAAACUCAAAGGAAUUGACGGGGACCCGCACAAGCGGUGGAGCAUGUGGUUUAAUUCGAAGCAACGCGAAGAACCUUACCAAAUCUUGACAUCCUUUGAAAACUCUAGAGAUAGAGCUUUCCCCUUCGGGGGACAAAGUGACAGGUGGUGCAUGGUUGUCGUCAGCUCGUGUCGUGAGAUGUUGGGUUAAGUCCCGCAACGAGCGCAACCCUUAAGCUUAGUUGCCAUCAUUAAGUUGGGCACUCUAGGUUGACUGCCGGUGACAAACCGGAGGAAGGUGGGGAUGACGUCAAAUCAUCAUGCCCCUUAUGAUUUGGGCUACACACGUGCUACAAUGGACAAUACAAAGGGCAGCUAAACCGCGAGGUCAUGCAAAUCCCAUAAAGUUGUUCUCAGUUCGGAUUGUAGUCUGCAACUCGACUACAUGAAGCUGGAAUCGCUAGUAAUCGUAGAUCAGCAUGCUACGGUGAAUACGUUCCCGGGUCUUGUACACACCGCCCGUCACACCACGAGAGUUUGUAACACCCGAAGCCGGUGGAGUAACCAUUUAUGGAGCU
Molecule: ribosomal RNA, 1415 nt
Filed under: Staphylococcus pseudoxylosus
Lineage: Bacteria; Bacillati; Bacillota; Bacilli; Caryophanales; Staphylococcaceae
Description: bacterial SSU rRNA
Rfam family: Bacterial small subunit ribosomal RNA
Source: RNAcentral